Molecule: ribosomal RNA, 253 nt
Filed under: uncultured bacterium
Lineage: Bacteria
Description: partial 16S ribosomal RNA
Rfam family: Bacterial small subunit ribosomal RNA
Source: RNAcentral
UACGUAGGGGGCGAGCGUUGUCCGGAAUUAUUGGGCGUAAAGGGCUCGUAGGCGGUUUGUCGCGUCGGGAGUGAAAACCUCGGGCUUAACUCGGGGCUUGCUUUCGAUACGGGCAGACUAGAGGUAUGCAGGGGAGAACGGAAUUCCUGGUGUAGCGGUGAAAUGCGCAGAUAUCAGGAGGAACACCGGUGGCGAAGGCGGUUCUCUGGGCAUGAUCUGACGCUGAGGAGCGAAAGUGUGGGGAGCGAACAGG